This 1365-nucleotide ribosomal RNA is filed under the name uncultured bacterium. RNAcentral's name for it is "bacterial SSU rRNA". It matches the Rfam family "Bacterial small subunit ribosomal RNA", at positions 28 to 1381 of the family's 1533-position model. The record is from RNAcentral.
AUUGAACGCUGGCGGCAGGCCUAACACAUGCAAGUCGAACGGUAACAGGAAGAAGCUUGCUUCUUUGCUGACGAGUGGCGGACGGGUGAGUAAUGUCUGGGAAACUGCCUGAUGGAGGGGGAUAACUACUGGAAACGGUAGCUAAUACCGCAUAACGUCGCAAGACCAAAGAGGGGGACCUUCGGGCCUCUUGCCAUCGGAUGUGCCCAGAUGGGAUUAGCUAGUAGGUGGGGUAACGGCUCACCUAGGCGACGAUCCCUAGCUGGUCUGAGAGGAUGACCAGCCACACUGGAACUGAGACACGGUCCAGACUCCUACGGGAGGCAGCAGUGGGGAAUAUUGCACAAUGGGCGCAAGCCUGAUGCAGCCAUGCCGCGUGUAUGAAGAAGGCCUUCGGGUUGUAAAGUACUUUCAGCGGGGAGGAAGGGAGUAAAGUUAAUACCUUUGCUCAUUGACGUUACCCGCAGAAGAAGCACCGGCUAACUCCGUGCCAGCAGCCGCGGUAAUACGGAGGGUGCAAGCGUUAAUCGGAAUUACUGGGCGUAAAGCGCACGCAGGCGGUUUGUUAAAGUCAGAUGUGAAAUCCCCGGGGCUCAACCUGGGAACUGCAUCUGAUACUGGCAAGCUUGAGUCUCGUAGAGGGGGGUAGAAUUCCAGGUGUAGCGGUGAAAUGCGUAGAGAUCUGGAGGAAUACCGGUGGCGAAGGCGGCCCCCUGGACGAAGACUGACGCUCAGGUGCGAAAGCGUGGGGAGCAAACAGGAUUAGAUACCCCGGUAGUCCACGCCGUAAACGAUGUCGACUUGGAGGUUGUGCCCUUGAGGCGUGGCUUCCGGAGCUAACGCGUUAAGUCGACCGCCUGGGGAGUACGGCCGCAAGGUUAAAACUCAAAUGAAUUGACGGGGGCCCGCACAAGCGGUGGAGCAUGUGGUUUAAUUCGAUGCAACGCGAAGAACCUUACCUGGUCUUGACAUCCACAGAACUUUCCAGAGAUGGAUUGGUGCCUUCGGGAACUGUGAGACAGGUGCUGCAUGGCUGUCGUCAGCUCGUGUUGUGAAAUGUUGGGUUAAGUCCCGCAACGAGCGCAACCCUUAUCUUUUGUUGCCAGCGGUCCGGCCGGGAACUCAAAGGAGACUGCCAGUGAUAAACUGGAGGAAGGUGGGGAUGACGUCAAGUCAUCAUGGCCCUUACGACCAGGGCUACACACGUGCUACAAUGGCGCAUACAAAGAGAAGCGACCUCGCGAGAGCAAGCGGACCUCAUAAAGUGCGUCGUAGUCCGGAUUGGAGUCUGCAACUCGACUCCAUGAAGUCGGAAUCGCUAGUAAUCGUGGAUCAGAAUGCCACGGUGAAUACGUUCCCGGGCCU